Molecule: ribosomal RNA, 602 nt
Filed under: Thygater paranaensis
Lineage: Eukaryota; Metazoa; Arthropoda; Insecta; Hymenoptera; Apidae
Also listed under: 1 other name
Description: SSU rRNA
Rfam family: Eukaryotic small subunit ribosomal RNA
Source: RNAcentral
UGGAGGGCAAGUCUGGUGCCAGCAGCCGCGGUAAUUCCAGCUCCAAUAGCGUAUAUUAAAGUUGUUGCGGUUAAAAAGCUCGUAGUUGAAUCUGUGUGUCACAGUGUCGGUUCACCGCUCGCGGUGUCUAACUGGCAUUAUGUGGUACGUCCUACCGGUGGGCUUAGCUCCUUGCGGGCGGUCCAACUAAUCUCCCAUCGCGGUGCUCUUCACUGAGUGUCGAGGUGGGCCGGUACGUUUACUUUGAACAAAUUAGAGUGCUCAAAGCAGGCUACCUUCGCCUGAAUACUGCGUGCAUGGAAUAAUGGAAUAGGACCUCGGUUCUAUUUUGUUGGUUUUCGGAACCCCGAGGUAAUGAUUAAUAGGGACAGAUGGGGGCAUUCGUAUUGCGACGUUAGAGGUGAAAUUCUUGGAUCGUCGCAAGACGGACUAAAGCGAAAGCAUUUGCCAAAAAUGUUUUCAUUAAUCAAGAACGAAAGUUAGAGGUUCGAAGGCGAUCAGAUACCGCCCUAGUUCUAACCAUAAACGAUGCCAGCUAGCGAUCCGCCGAUGUUCCUCCGAUGACUCGGCGGGCAGCUUCCGGGAAACCAAAGCUUUUGGGU